AACGAACGCUGGCGGCAUGCCUAACACAUGCAAGUCGAACGAGAUCUUCGGGUCUAGUGGCGCACGGGUGCGUAACGCGUGGGAAUCUGCCCUUUGGUUCGGAAUAACAGUUGGAAACGACUGCUAAUACCGGAUGAUGACGAAAGUCCAAAGAUUUAUCGCCAGAGGAUUAGCCCGCGUAGGAUCAGCUAGUUGGUGUGGUAAAGGCGCACCAAGGCGACGAUCCUUAGCUGGUCUGAGAGGAUGAUCAGCCACACUGGGACUGAGACACGGCCCAAGCUCCUAGGGGAGGCAGCAGUGGGGAAUAUUGGACAAUGGGCGAAGGCCUGAUCCAGCAAUGCCGCGUGAGUGAUGAAGGCCUUAGGGUUGUAAAGCUCUUCUACCCGGGAUGAUAAUGACAGUACCGGGAGAAUAAGCUCCGGCUAACUCCGUGCCAGCCGCCGCAGUAA
This 449-nucleotide ribosomal RNA is filed under the name uncultured bacterium. RNAcentral's name for it is "partial 16S ribosomal RNA". It matches the Rfam family "Bacterial small subunit ribosomal RNA", at positions 29 to 523 of the family's 1533-position model. The record is from RNAcentral.